This 83-nucleotide transfer RNA is filed under the name Arthrobacter sp. RNAcentral describes it as "tRNA-Leu(tag)". It matches the Rfam family "tRNA". From Rfam's summary of the family: Transfer RNA (tRNA) molecules are approximately 80 nucleotides in length. Their secondary structure includes four short double-helical elements and three loops (D, anti-codon, and T loops). Lineage: Bacteria; Bacillati; Actinomycetota; Actinomycetes; Micrococcales; Micrococcaceae. RNAcentral also lists the same sequence under 57 other names. The record is from RNAcentral.
GCGCGAGUGGUGAAAUUGGCAGACACGCAGGAUUUAGGUUCCUGUGCCUUCGGGCGUGGGGGUUCAAGUCCCCCCUUGCGCAC